RNAcentral lists this ribosomal RNA (454 nucleotides) under uncultured bacterium. RNAcentral describes it as "partial 16S ribosomal RNA". It matches the Rfam family "Bacterial small subunit ribosomal RNA", at positions 28 to 507 of the family's 1533-position model. The record is from RNAcentral.
GAUGAACGCUGACAGAAUGCUUAACACAUGCAAGUCAACUUGAACUUCGGUUUGGGUGGCGGACGGGUGAGUAACGCGUAAAGAACUUGCCUCACAGAUAGGGACAACAUUUGGAAACGAAUGCUAAUACCUGAUAUUAUGAUUAUAUGGCAUCGUAUAAUUAUGAAAGCUAUAUGCGCUGUGAGAGAGCUUUGCGUCCCAUUAGCUAGUUGGAGAGGUAACGGCUCACCAAGGCGAUGAUGGGUAGCCGGCCUGAGAGGGUGAUCGGCCACAAGGGGACUGAGACACGGCCCUUACUCCUUCGGGAGGCAGCAGUGGGGAAUAUUGGACAAUGGACCAAGGGUCUGAUCCAGCAAUUCUGUGUGCACGAUGAAGUUUUUCGGAAUGUAAAGUGCUUUCAGUUGGGAAGAAAAAAAUGACGGUACCAACAGAAGAAGUGACGGCUAAAUACGUG